This 381-nucleotide ribosomal RNA is filed under the name uncultured bacterium. RNAcentral's name for it is "bacterial SSU rRNA". It matches the Rfam family "Bacterial small subunit ribosomal RNA", at positions 29 to 437 of the family's 1533-position model. The record is from RNAcentral.
AACGAACGCUGGCGGCAUGCCUAACACAUGCAAGUCGAACGAAGCCUUCGGGCUUAGUGGCGCACGGGUGCGUAACGCGUGGGAAUCUGCCCUUGGGUUCGGAAUAACAGUUAGAAAUGACUGCUAAUACCGAAUGAUGUCUUCGGACCAAAGAUUUAUCGCCCAAGGAUGAGCCCGCGUCGGAUUAGCUAGUUGGUGAGGUAAAGGCUCACCAAGGCGACGAUCCGUAGCUGGUCUGAGAGGAUGAUCAGCCACACUGGGACUGAGACACGGCCCAGACUCCUACGGGAGGCAGCAGUGGGGAAUAUUGGACAAUGGGCGAAAGCCUGAUCCAGCAAUGCCGCGUGAGUGAUGAAGGCCUUAGGGUUGUAAAGCCUCGUU